CACCGGCACCCCAAGUGGUAGCCACUAUUAUUGGGCCUAAAGCAUCCGUAGCCUGUUCUACAAGUUUGCGGUUAAAUCUAUGCGCUCAACGUAUAGGCUGCCGUAAAUACUGCAGAACUAGGGAGUGGGAGAGGUAGACGGUACUCGGUAGGAAGGGGUAAAAUCCUUUGAUCUAUUGAUGACCACCUGUGGCGAAGGCGGUCUACCAGAACACGUUCGACGGUGAGGGAUGAAAGCUGGGGGAGCAAACCGG
RNAcentral lists this ribosomal RNA (253 nucleotides) under uncultured archaeon. RNAcentral describes it as "partial 16S ribosomal RNA". It matches the Rfam family "Archaeal small subunit ribosomal RNA", at positions 474 to 727 of the family's 1478-position model. The record is from RNAcentral.